Molecule: ribosomal RNA, 119 nt
Filed under: Oncorhynchus mykiss (rainbow trout)
Lineage: Eukaryota; Metazoa; Chordata; Actinopteri; Salmoniformes; Salmonidae
Source: RNAcentral
GCUUACGGCCACACCGGCCUGAGUAUACCUGAUCUCGUCCGAUCUCGGAAGCUAAGCAGGGUCGGGCCUGGUUAGUACUUGGAUGGGAGACCGCCUGGGAAUACCAGGUGCUGUAAGCU